CGCGACGGAGCACCCGGAGACGGCGUUUCCACCACGUAGAGCGCAAGCUUAACCGCCCUCGCCACAAGCCCAAGCCCCCGCUAGGGCAUUAUUCGGCGUCUGCGGCUCCCGAAAGUCGAAGUCAGUCGGUCUGCGAGUUCCCGAGUGCGACAAGUGAGCGAGGGGACGGGACACUGACACUCACGCUCCGGCGGACGUCAUGCAAAGAUUUGAGACGGGUGUGUAGCCAACGGGUCACCUCUCUCUCCGACACCGACGCCGAACGAGGACGCGGCUAGCUCGUUGGCGAAGUGGGGAGGGCUAGAAUCGUCAAGCUCAACUUGUUCUCCGCCCUCUAUAUCUCACUUCCUCCGUCCUGAUUAAAGCAACCAAGUGGAAGGUCAGUAGACAGCAAGUCUUCGCUUCCCACACCUAUAUCACUGGUAGUCGUCAGGUCGUACUGCUUCUUUGUGUUUUUAUCUUUCAGGUUUUUAUAUAACCUCUUGUUUUUCCCACAACUACUCUUACACCUCGUGUAAAACGCUUACUAUCCUCUCCUCUCACUCGACCGACUUUCGCUUGGUCUACUAAGACCUUUAUGGAACUUCUUUAGUUUUGAUAGGAGGGAACAUUUCCCGAAGGUACUUCUGAUGGUUAUGGAAGUGUUCGUGACGUUUCUAGAUUAGUCAUUUGACCUUUUACAACCCGUGUCAAGGUGACCAAGUCUAAGUAGGCUAAGUCUGAGCCUUCCUCUGUCUAGCCUGUGACUGCAAGGAUUAGUCUUUGAUCUACGUAAUUUACUUCUUUUACUGACCUACGUCUUCGAACGACCUCUUGUAGUUCCACUUCUCGUUUCAUGCCUUCGUCCCUAAGUCUUCGACUUUGUUUUACGUCUUCUUUUUUGCUUUCUUUAUAGACUAGACUACUUCGAUAAUCUUUUUCGUUAUUACCUGUUUCUUCGAUGAUCAAGUCUACAACGUUUGAACAGUAGUCUCUUGCUUGUAGAUUUUAACAACCAACUUCCACGUCUCUUCCUCCGUCGUCUUAGGGACUUCUGUAGUUGUCUGUACCUCUUACUCUACUCCUACAAUAGACCGCUCUUCGUUUAACACCUUUUUCUCUCCCUACUGGACUUCUAAAAUUAAUAUCUGGACCUCUUGUUCUCCCUUCUAUACUCGUUAGUCGACGUUCUAUGUCACCUCUUUACGUUAAGGAACAGUAGGGUUGAACUCUUCCGGGUGAAUCGACUCUUUCUUCACGUCUGGAACAAUAGUCUUGAGGUUUUUAGGUUCUUACUCUUGAACUACGACAGUCACCUUACACUAUUGGACUUUCGUUUACUCUUCUUACACCUAUAGUUCAAAAGGCUUGACUUCCUUUGAGAACGACUUUGUUCUCGAUUUUUACUGAGGAACUAACGUCUCUUGUCAAAUGAGCUUUCGUUCGAAGUUGUAAAUCCCCACCUCUAUCUACCAUACUGUCACCUCUUUCUCCUCGAUUACUUGUUAGACUUGUUCCUUGCACCUCGACGUCUUCUUCUUUUUAAUUCUCAUCAUAGUCUUGUAAGGUUCACAAACUUACUCAACCUCGUCCGUGUUACAUCGUAGUUCCUUGAUCUUUUCCUUUACCUUAGUUGUUUUGAACGUGACUCACUAUUAUAACGUCUCGAUGACUUUCUUUUCUUAAGGCACCGUAGUCUCGAUUUCGUCAAUCUUCGAAGAAACUUCUUAGAACUUGUGCUCAAGCUUGUUGUUGAUUUCGUUUAAAGACAAUACGUCUUCCUAUUACUUCUGGACCGCAACCACUUAAGUUUGGACGUAUUACUCGAACGUCGUCACGAGCCUCUUUUCUUACUUCGACAACGAAGAUCAUAACUAGAACUUUUAUUCAAAGUUGUCGUUUUGGUUGUUUAAAGUUCAGAAGUCCUCUGGUAACUUCCGGAGUCUCGCCGUUUCCGACUUUACAGAUUACUCCAAUAUCAUGUGCUCCUCCGCUUUUUACGUCGUCAACGAGUCAAUCUAGUCAGCCUCCGAAUGCAGUUCUUGGAGGUCUCGCUCUAUCUUGAUUUCGUCUUACUUUAAAGUGAAAAGGUCGUUCGAUUACUUCUUGACGUCCUCUUUUUAAGAUCGAACCCAUCCGUCGACCUUCUUCAAUUCUGACUAGAUGUCCGACUCUAGUAAGAUAAUGUUCCUCUUUUCGUUGUUUAGUAACUACUAAACGUCGUCAGUUUGUGAAGUCAGUUCUGAGAGCUUGCACUCAAUCUCGUCGUUUCUCUUGUUUUGAUAUAAGAUGUCGAUCGGUUACUUCUAGACGUCUUCUUAUUGACAUUGGACUUCUUUGUUAAACUUCUACGGUACCAAUCGGCGGUGCGACUUUAAUAUCAUGAGGUUCUGCUCUUCUCUUUUUGGGAAAGCCUCAACGUCGUCAGACUCCGAAGGUAGUUCUUAGAUUCUUGACUCAGUCUAGUUCCUGCUCUCGUUUAAAGCUAGAACGUAGAUCAAUUACUUCUUUACUUCUUAUCUUUACGAUCGAACUUGUUCGUUAACCUCCUUAAUUCCUCGUCGAACAGACUCCUCUAACAUCGUGAUUCACUCGUCUUCCUUUGUCGGGACAGUCUCAAUGUGGUCAGAGUACGAAGUUAACCCUUGAACCUCUAUCUCAAUCUUUUCGCUUUACGCUCACAAAGUCAAAAUGUCGUUCGGUUACUACUAGAUGUCUUCGUGUAGAGACGGGACUGGCUUCUUAAGUUGCUUCACUUCCGACUCAACGUCUUCCUCUAAUUUCACUGUGUUCUUCUCUUCCUAUGCCAAAAUUGGGUUGAUUUCGUUCGUCUCAAAAGAUAGUUCUUGGAACUUAGGCUCUAUCGAGUCAAUUUCCUACUAGAAAGUUAAGUCGAUCUUUUGUUAAGGUCGAACUUGUUUGUUAAACUCCUUAGUUCCUGGUUAGACGUCCCCCUAUAAGAUCGUGAAGCACUUCUUUUUCUUUGUCAAGACAGUCUCAAUGUAGUCAGACUUCGAAGACACUCCUUGAAACUCUCUCUCGAUCUUUUCGUUUCAGUCUCGUAAAGUCGAGACGUCGUACGUUUACUACUUAGUCUUGUCUUGUUUACACGGAACUGGGUCUUUAAUCUUCUUCAGUUCCGACUCAGUGUCUCCUUCUAACUCCACCGUGUUCUUCUCUUCCUAUGUAAUCAUUGGGUUGAUUUUGUCAGUCUCAGAAGAUAGUUCUUAGAACUUUCACUUUAUCGUGUCGACUUCCUCCUUGAAAGUCAAGUCGACCUUUCGUUAAGGUCGAACCUCGUUGUCAAGCUUCUCCGUUAUGAUUUUCAAAGAUUGAAUGUACUCUUUGAGCUCUCUCAAGUCCGACUCCGCCGUACAGUUCAAUAACUUUACUUGUCAUUACGCUUUCUAAACCUCUUCUAUUAUCUAUAUAACAGUAGAGUCUUCCGGUUCCACCUCCCUCUAGACUUUCUAUACCAAUUUUAUACGUACCUUUUAAACAGCAGGUACUUACUAAAACUUCUAUCUCAAUGUGUCUUUCAAAGUCUAGUACGAUGGUUUGAACGACUAGAGGUCGUCUCGGAGUUUCUAUAGCCACCGUUGAAAGUCUCUGAGGUAGUAUGUAUACGACUGCACAGGUGUUUCCGUAGAGUCGAGCUCCAUGAGUUCUUUUUAGUAUAACUCGUCUAUCUGGUUGAUCUUCUCUUUUUACGUCUUUAAAACCUGUUUGUAGCGGUGAACCUUCUCCUUUACAAAACACGUUUAUUCCUAUUGUGUCUCGACGUUUUCGUACAGGUUCUUGAACUUAAACUCGAGGUCGAUCGGUUCGUCUUCGAACUUGAACGGCUUCGCCUCUCGUUUACGUUUCUUCUCUCGGUACACUACCGUCACCUUUGUAGUUUUUGUCUCUAGCACGUAGAACUUCUUGUUUAUGUUGACAAGAGACCUUCCUAAUCGAACGACCUUCUUUGAAAACACGUUUAAUUUCUGUCGUGGCUCAGUCACCAGAGAUUUAACCUUUUAGUUAACCUACUCGAACUUAAUGUGAGGUCAGUUUCGUAAUGCACGAAGUAAUUGGCGAAUAGACGUACACCACCUCUCAAAUCACAGGAUGUCUUGUACCAUGUGUUAAGAGAACGACUCGUCUUUCUUGACGAGUUCCUUUUGCUUCUUGACCGAUAACCCAACUCUUUCUUUCUUUUCCUUUACAGUCUUUACUAAUCCUCACGAUGACUCCGUCGACUCUUCUACCAAGUUGAACUCUUCUAUUAACUUCUUUUUCUGCUACUUGAUCGUCGAUCUCACGUCCUCUUUUCUCUUCGAUAGUUCGUCGACUCACUGUGUUAACUAAUGGUGUUCUUGUUGUCGCUACUAGACCAGGCGAUAUAAGCGUCAGUGUUGGCAGGGGCGGAAGGUAAAACAGACAUUUAAACUAGUGGUUUUCAAGUAACAGUCAGUUAUAUAUUCGACGUAAAAUAGACACUUGUAGUAAUCUGUUAAUAAAGGUUAAGGAAAUUACAUAGUAUUUAUCACGGGUUUAUGUUUGUUACACCUCCAUCAGUUUAUCCACCACCGGACACAUAGGAUAACAGUAACCCUCUCGAUCUUUGUGAAAGACAAGGAACAUCAAAUAAUAGUAGGAUAACUUUACGGUUAUCUCCGACUUCUACGUUGUUCACACUCAAACCACCAGACUUAAGUACAAGGUUAGUCCAUUACACCGAAACCACUAAGAGAACAAGAGAAAAAGGUAAAUUCUGUAUAAAGUUGUAA
This 4751-nucleotide ribosomal RNA is filed under the name Triticum aestivum (bread wheat). RNAcentral's name for it is "partial small subunit ribosomal RNA". Lineage: Eukaryota; Viridiplantae; Streptophyta; Magnoliopsida; Poales; Poaceae. The record is from RNAcentral.